Molecule: unclassified non-coding RNA, 336 nt
Filed under: soil metagenome
Description: partial contains 5.8S ribosomal RNA, internal transcribed spacer 2, and large subunit ribosomal RNA
Rfam family: 5.8S ribosomal RNA (bases 1-120)
Source: RNAcentral
GAUGAAGAACGCAGCGAAAUGCGAUAAGUAAUGUGAAUUGCAGAAUUCAGUCAAUCAUCGAAUCUUUGAACGCACAUUGCGCCCGCCAGUAUUCUGGCGGGCAUGCCUGUUCGAGCGUCAUUUCAACCAUCAAGCCCCCGGCUUGUGUUGGGGACCUGCGGCUGCCGCAGGCCCUGAAAAGCAGUGGCGGGCUCGCUGUCACACCGAGCGUAGUAGCAUACAUCUCGCUCUGGGCGUGCUGCGGGUUCCGGCCGUUAAACCACCUUCAUAACCCAAGGUUGACCUCGGAUCAGGUAGGAAGACCCGCUGAACUUAAGCAUAUCAAUAAGCGGAGGA